AUACGUAGGUGGCGAGCGUUAUCCGGAUUUACUGGGUGUAAAGGGUGUGUAGGCGGGAUUGCAAGUCAGAUGUGAAAAUCAUGGGCUCAACUCAUGACCUGCAUUUGAAACUGUGGUUCUUGAGGGUCGGAGAGGUAACCGGAAUUCCUGGUGUAGCGGUGAAAUGCGUAGAUAUCAGGAGGAACACCGGUGGCGAAGGCGGGUUACUGGACGAUUACUGACGCUGAGACACGAAAGCGUGGGGAGCAAACAGGAUUAGAUACCCUGGUAGUCCACGCUGUAAACGAUGAAUGCUAGGUGUGGGGACGUAAGUUGCGGUGCCUGAGUUAACUCAAUAAGAAUUCCGCCUGGGGAGUACGGACGAAAGGUUGUAACUCAAAGGAAGUGACGGG
This 392-nucleotide ribosomal RNA is filed under the name uncultured bacterium. RNAcentral's name for it is "partial 16S ribosomal RNA". It matches the Rfam family "Bacterial small subunit ribosomal RNA", at positions 523 to 917 of the family's 1533-position model. The record is from RNAcentral.